Calidris pugnax (ruff) is the source of this 819-nucleotide long non-coding RNA. RefSeq lists it as uncharacterized. Lineage: Eukaryota; Metazoa; Chordata; Aves; Charadriiformes; Scolopacidae. The transcript is spliced from 3 exons. The record is from RefSeq and is a predicted model, not a curated record.
GUGCUUAAAAAGUGUUUAAAGAAAAAUAUUUAAACUCUUAUUAUUAAAUAAAGAACACUUUUUUUGUUGUUGUUUUUUUAACUGUGAGGAGACUGACAUAGGAAGCACCAAGAAAUUACAAGCCCUGAGAAAAGAACAUUUGGGUGAAAAACUGUGGUGAAAGUUGGAAUAAAAUUUCUGGAAAGGCUUUGGAGUGAAGGUUUGGAACUUGAAUUUGAGGUGCGAGGGUUCAUGAAGUCAGUAAAAGGAUUGUAGUCUUCCCCCUCUGAGGCAUCCCAACAUGGACUGUGCUCAUGAUGUUGAUAGCUCCUAAUAACAGCCCCAGAGGAGGGAGUCUGCCAAUGGGGGAAAGAGGACUUCAGUCUGCAUGGCUACCACGCGUUCAUGGGCAGUAAAAUCACAUAUGCAAUUUCUUAACAAGAGACGAGGAAGAGAACGUAAAUGAUCAUCAUAUGUUUGCUGCAGUAGGUGAUGUGUAAUGCUUUUCAAAAUAUUUUAAUAUUAAAAUAUCUUUCAUGACUGUGAAGGUAACUUUUUAUUUCACACUUGUAGGAUCUAUUGAAUAAAACAUAUUCUUGUCUUUGUGUGGCUUGCUAAAGUCUUGAGGAGAUCCCUAAAAUUUAAAUUAUUCAUUAUUUCUUGUGAUCUUUUGCAAUUCUUGAUGUUUUGGGCUGAUUGGUCACUUGGCUGGGGAGCUCUGAUCUUAGGUAAUGAAAAACGGAGAUAAUUCCUGCUUAGGAAAAGCAGAAAUGGCUAUCCUGCUUAGGAUAGGCAAAAAGCUAUCCAGUGCAGUCCCUAAAGCUGUCGUACUUCGGUAGG